Molecule: ribosomal RNA, 484 nt
Filed under: uncultured bacterium
Lineage: Bacteria
Description: partial 16S ribosomal RNA
Rfam family: Bacterial small subunit ribosomal RNA
Source: RNAcentral
AUUGAACGCUGGCGGCAGGCCUAACACAUGCAAGUCGAGCGGAUGAAGGGAGCUUGCUCCUGGAUUCAGCGGCGGACGGGUGAGUAAUGCCUAGGAAUCUGCCUGGUAGUGGGGGAUAACGUCCGGAAACGGGCGCUAAUACCGCAUACGUCCUGAGGGAGAAAGUGGGGGAUCUUCGGACCUCACGCUAUCAGAUGAGCCUAGGUCGGAUUAGCUAGUUGGUGGGGUAAAGGCCUACCAAGGCGACGAUCCGUAACUGGUCUGAGAGGAUGAUCAGUCACACUGGAACUGAGACACGGUCCAGACUCCUACGGGAGGCAGCAGUGGAGAAUAUUGGACAGUGGGCGAAAGCCUGAUCCAGCCAUGCCGCGUGUGUGAAGAAGGUCUUCGGAUUGUAAAGCACUUUAAGUUGGGAGGAAGGGCAGUAAGUUAAUACCUUGCUGUUUUGACGUUACCAACAGAAUAAGCACCGGCUAACUUCGUG